AUCAUGGAGACGGGAUGUAUAUAGAGGAUUGCAUGAUUAUUUGACUUUGGUUAGGCAUAGUUAGGAUAUUUAGAUUAGAAUAGGACAUUAUAGACAAUUAGAUGAACAGUUAAAUUCAUAAGUGCUCUUUAUUCAGAUGGACAGUAAUUGAUUUUUCUUAAUGAAAUGUUUAUGAUAGUUCAAUUUCAAUAUCAGCAAACCGAAUAAAAACAAAUUUUAUUUUGAAACUCUUUCGAUAUAUUUAAAUGAUUUAUUUAUAUUAAUUAAUUUCGUUAAUUUCUCAUUUGAAAAUUUCUCUCUAUUUUAAUUUGCUACUUUCAUUUUUCUGAUAAGGGGAGAUGUCACGUGUGCUUAAUCUGUAUUCUAUUUAUACUCGGUUACAGCCUCUGUUUCAUAUAUGUAUACGUCAU
This 410-nucleotide long non-coding RNA is filed under the name Mytilus galloprovincialis (Mediterranean mussel). Lineage: Eukaryota; Metazoa; Mollusca; Bivalvia; Mytilida; Mytilidae. The record is from RNAcentral.